RNAcentral lists this ribosomal RNA (253 nucleotides) under uncultured bacterium. RNAcentral's name for it is "partial 16S ribosomal RNA". It matches the Rfam family "Bacterial small subunit ribosomal RNA", at positions 524 to 776 of the family's 1533-position model. The record is from RNAcentral.
UACGGGGGGAGCAAGCGUUGUUCGGAUUUACUGGGCGUAAAGGGCGCGUAGGCGGCGUGACAAGUCACUUGUGAAAUCUCCGGGCUUAACUCGGAACGGUCAAGUGAUACUGUCGUGCUAGAGUACAGAAGGGGCAACUGGAAUUCUCGGUGUAGCGGUGAAAUGCGUAGAUAUCGGGAGGAACACCUGUGGCGAAAGCGGCUCACUGGACAGUAACUGACGCUGAUGCACGAAAGCUGGGGGAGCAAACAGG